GAAAUGCGAUAAGUAAUGUGAAUUGCAUAAUUCCGUGAAUCAUCGAAUCUUUGAACGCACAUUGCGCCCUCUGGCAUUCCGGGGGGCAUGCCUGUCCGAGCGUCAUUACGCACCCUCAAGCCCGGCUUGUGUGAUGGGCCCUGGCGUCUCGUUCGCGAGACGGGCCCGAAAGGCAGCGGCGGCGUCGACCCGAUGAGCCCGAGCGUAUGGGGACUUUUGUCACACGUUUGCGGUGCGGACCGGCGCCUGCUUGACUUUUCUGAUUAUCCAGGUUGACCUCGGAUCAGGUAGGGAUACCCGCUGAACUUAAGC
RNAcentral lists this unclassified non-coding RNA (312 nucleotides) under plant metagenome. Its description in RNAcentral is "partial contains 5.8S ribosomal RNA, internal transcribed spacer 2, and large subunit ribosomal RNA". The stretch from base 1 to 105 matches the Rfam family "5.8S ribosomal RNA", at positions 50 to 154 of the family's 154-position model. The record is from RNAcentral.